RNAcentral lists this ribosomal RNA (400 nucleotides) under Janthinobacterium sp. C8. Its description in RNAcentral is "bacterial SSU rRNA". It matches the Rfam family "Bacterial small subunit ribosomal RNA", at positions 77 to 476 of the family's 1533-position model. The record is from RNAcentral. Lineage: Bacteria; Pseudomonadati; Pseudomonadota; Betaproteobacteria; Burkholderiales; Oxalobacteraceae.
GGCCAACCUGGCGGGCCAAGUGGCGAAAGGGUUAGUAAUAUAUCGGAACAUACCCUAGAAUGGGGGAUAACGUAGCGAAAGUUACGCUAAUACCCGCAUACGCACUUAAGGUGGAAAGUGGGGGAUCGCAAGACCUCGUGCUCAUGGAGUGGCCGAUAUCUGAUUAGCUAGUUGGUAGGGUAAAAGCCUACCAAGGCGACGAUCAGUAGCUGGUUUGAGAGAACGACCAGCCACACUGGAACUGAGACCACGGUCCAGACUCCUACGGGAGGCAGCAGUGGGGAAUUUUGGACAAUGGGGGCAACCCUGAUCCAGCAAUGCCGCGUGAGUGAAGAAGGCCUUCGGGUUGUAAAGCUCUUUUGUCAGGGAAGAAACGGUGUUUCCUAAUACGGAAGNCUAA